Molecule: ribosomal RNA, 628 nt
Filed under: uncultured Alphaproteobacteria bacterium
Lineage: Bacteria; Pseudomonadati; Pseudomonadota; Alphaproteobacteria
Description: bacterial SSU rRNA
Rfam family: Bacterial small subunit ribosomal RNA
Source: RNAcentral
AGAGUUUGAUCAUGGCUCAGAAGGAACGCUGGCAGCGUGCAUAACACAUGCAAGUCGAACGGUAGUAUAUCUUCGGGUAUAUGAGAGUGGCGAACGGGUGAGUAACACGUAAGAAUCUACCUUUGGGACGGGGAUAACUUCUGGAAACGGAUGCUAAUACCCGAUACGCUGUGGAGUGAAAGAAUUUCGCCCAAAGAUGAUCUUGCGUCUGAUUAGCUAGUUGGUAGGGUAAUGGCUUACCAAGGCGACGAUCAGUAGCUGGUCUGAGAGGAUGGACAGCCACAUUGGAACUGAGACACGGUCCAAACUCCUACGGGAGGCAGCAGUGGGGAAUUUUCCGCAAUGGACGAAAGUCUGACGGAGCGACGCUGCGUGAAGGAUGACGGCCUGCGGGUUGUAAACUUCUUUUCUCGAAGAAGAAUAAAUGACGGUAUUCGAGGAAUAAGCAUCGGCUAACUCUGUGCCAGCAGCCGCGGUAAGACAGAGGAUGCAAGUGUUAUUCGGAUUGAUUGGGCGUAAAGCGUCUGUAGGCGGUUUGGAAAGUCUUUUGUGAAAUUCUUCAGCUCAACUGGGGGUCCGCAAAAGAAACUUCUAAGCUUGAGGGAAGUAGAGGUAUAGGGAAUUUCCG